RNAcentral lists this long non-coding RNA (3925 nucleotides) under Calidris pugnax (ruff). RNAcentral describes it as "lncRNA (ENSCPUG00000007093.1)". The record is from RNAcentral. Lineage: Eukaryota; Metazoa; Chordata; Aves; Charadriiformes; Scolopacidae.
CUCUCCCCGCCUACGGCGAGCGACGAGCGGCACAUCGAGCCGGCGCCGGGGAAAGGCGAAGCGCGACCCUGCCCUGCCAUGGAGAGUCGGGGGCUGGGCAAACUCAUAUGAUAUUGGAUCUCCUGCGAGUGAACCACCGAGUUUCAAAGUCAAGAUGUCCGAGCUUGACUCUGCACAGGCUGGCAGUGAAACACCCGGGGCUCAGUCUUCAGCAACUGCAGACAAGCCAACAGACACUACGUGUGAAAUAUCAGAGCAGCCAAGGGUGUACGAAGACCCCUUUGAAGUCUCCGUUAAGUACAUGGAGAAACACAAUAUUCUGCAGAUAUUUCGGGACAUCACAGAAAAACUGGUGUACCACAAGCCCGAUGACCCCUUGCAGUUCAUAUUGCAGCAGGUGCAGUCUAUGAUAGAUGCCAGGCAGGCAGAAAUGGAGGGAAGAUUGGAGGAGAAUGAAGAUGCAGAGGAGUUUAUGGAAGAGAUCUUGUACCCUCCUUUUGGCUCCUACUGACUUUGCUAUUGUGGUAUUGCAUGGGGCCGCAACAGCACUAUGCUUUUCUAGUCACUGAUUGUAACUUGGAAUACGUCUGCUUGUACCUCUGUUUCCUGAUUUUUCUAUUCUGUAUGUUUGUUCUUCCCCUUGGGUUUAAAUUCCGCAACCAAGUAUUGAUUUUGAUGCAAAAAACUCAAAUCUUAAAGUGUGCAUGGACCUGCAUGCACAUAUGCACACCUUGAAGAAGCGGGUCUGCUGAACUCCUGUUUGUGCAUACAAAUGCAUAAAUCCCACAGUUAGGCUACCCCUAGACUCUGCUUUUCCAUGCAGAGAAACCUCACAGCUCAGACAAUGCAAGCACAAAACCAAGUAGAAUUAAAAAGCAGCCCUGGAUGACCCACAGUCCUCUGUUUUUUCAUGCUGCAUCAGUGGCUUACUGUUUCCAGCUAUGCAGCAGUGCCUAUACCCAUUUAAUACUUUGAGAGGUUGGGUCUGUGGCUUUCCCACUGCCCCCAGAGCUGUUCUGAUGCAAGAACUGUCUCUCUGCUAUUGCGGGUUGCCCUGCUUGUAUUAUUGCAAGUACAGUGUAUAUUUUGAUAAGCAGAACAGUAAAAUAAUAGUUGAACCCACCCUCUGUGACUUCAGAAGACAUUGUCACUUAGGAAUGUGGGAGGUGAACAAAACUAAACAAACCAAAACCAACCACUGGUAGCCCAGGAAAUUCAGAGUCAAGGUACACUUUGCAAACACGCCAUUUGAACUGCUUUUGAUUCUCAAAACACUUAUAAUCCUCAUUUCAUAUUAUCCAAGUGUCUGUUUCCACCCUGUCUUUCAUUUUCUUGUCUUGUGCCUGAAGAUUACUGAAAAUGUGCAACAGAGCAUGCUGUUAUUUUGACUUCAUUUAAUGUGUAUGUGCAGUAGAUGCCAGAAAGUUUUUUGUCACAACAGACUUUUCUCUUUUUUAGGCAAGUGCUCUAAUUUCAUGAUAGAUGGUAAUGUAUUCCCAAAUGACUGUCUCUGUGGCUAUGAAGAGAGCACCAUAGAAACUUAUCUUCCAUCUAUCUAUUUUCAUCUAAAAGUCUGAUGAUUAGGUUGUGUGAUACUCCACUGCAGAGCUCAGGCCCAAAAAGUUUGGGAAUAACGGAGGGAGGUAUUUGGCACACAAAUUCUGUGGCUGAGAAGAGUUGCCUUUCUAUCUAAGGUUCUCAAAAGAGAUCAGUUAACUCAUGUGUUUCCAGGUUAAAGGUAGGUCAGCGCCCUUGUCAUUCAUAGGGCAGGAAGACUUUCAAGUUUAUUUUAAGCCUAAAUAUGGCUAAAGAUUCAGAUAAAAUCUUCAUGGGUUUUAUAAGAGUUUUGAUGUAGACGUAGGCAUCUAGGUCCCACUGAAGAAGUGAGAUGCUUUUGAAAGUCCUACUUAUCUGCAGCAACUGGAAGAAUUGGACACUUAAUGAAACAGAAAGCCUGAUUGGCUUUCAGCCUGAUAUAUUUUUGAUCAAGAAUUUAUAAGCAGCCUUGUGCCUAGGUGCCUUGUGAAUGUACGAGAAGUGCCAAUGCAGCUCUGUGAAACAGGAAAUGCAUGGAAUAUGAAGAUAGUGGCUGAAGCCUUUUCAUCUCUUUCAUCACUUGUUAGCAUGUUUUCCCAAGAGACAGAGAAAUUGGCAUUUUGUUGUAGAACAGGAUUAGGGUGCUUUUGAGUAUAGCCUUAGCUGUAAAUUUCCUGCUUCUGUCAUUUGUUUUUUGUAUUUUGUUGUUCUCUUUUACUUACAAAAAACUUCUGACUUGUAACACUUGAGGUGUAUGCCCUCAACUUCGUGUCAGCAUUAAGGAAGUUACGCAAGGACAGAUCCUUAAUUUCUCUGUCAGGUAAAUUGAAGUGAGCUGGAAAGUAGACCUCUUACAGAUGACAGAAGUUUUGCAAGACAGGCCCUACCCAGUGUUCCUCAGCAAUCUCAGGACCAAAUUUUUCCUUUGGUGGCCUGGCCACCUUAUUUCACGCUAAGAAAGUUGCUGUGUGGUAGCAAGAAGUCUUCCCCAAUGGACAUAAGAGAGAGCACAGCUGUCUCUCCUGUUUCUCAGGACCGAGGUCCCUCUCCUUUGAGGAGCAGCAGUUGUAUAAUAAUGAAUGAGGCUGUACUCAGUGUGGGCCUGGAGCUGGCAUGUGUAAAUGGCAAGAGACCAUGGAGGGCAGUAGGCCAAGGACAAUCCUUCAACUUCCACAGGCUUAGGGGGGAGUUGAUGAGCUCUGAACAAGGACUUUGACCAGAAAUCUUGGGGAACUCAUCAUGAACAGAGGAGAAAUUUCACUUCUCCUCAAGCCUCUCAGAUGGUGGGAUUGUAUUUUGAACUGCAGUUUUUCAAGGUAAAAAGUCUAGGAACUUAGUUUUAUGAAAACAAAAAAGCAUCCUCCAGAAUGUGUGCAGAUUAUUGUGUUUAAGCUAGUGCUACACAGCUGUCCCUUUCGAUUUGCUUCAGAGUUUUGCUGAAAAACACACCUUAGCUCUUGAAAAUUUUUACCUCACAUUAAGGCACUAGCACACCACUGCUAUUUGUGUGUAUGAAGGCCUUUCUGUGGUGAAGAAAAGGAGAAAAGUUAGAUUUUAAAUGGAAACAUUUAUUGUAGUCUUAAUUCCAGAAUGACUGUCCCUUUUUCAUAAUUUCUUUCUCAAACCAUCGGAUCCAUGUUUCUUUUUCAUAAGUGGACAUUUAUCAACGUGACAUUAAACUGUCAUUAAUUGUUUCGCCUUGGAUGCUCUGAAGGAAUGAACAGAUCAUUGUGUGUAACCGAAACUAUUCCAUAUAAGUCCUUAUAGCACACUAGUCACAGUAUAUUUGAAUGCCCUCCAGUAGUGUGCUAAGCAACGUGACUAACAUCUGUUGUUUGUUCUUUCUCCUCUCCACAAGGGACAUGUCUGUGCACUGAAGUGCAUUCUUUUUAAAAGGGUAUUUUGUUUUUUUUUACCCGCACCUGUGUAUUGCUGUGUGUUUCUAGUGGAUAGGGAUAGGUCAUGGAGUGGAAGGUGGGGAGGUUGGAAGUGGUUUGUAGUUCCCAAGCAUAUUUCCUCUGUAGUUUGAGCUGGGCACUGAGGAAGCACCGUAUUUUCACAGACAAGAUUUUUUGUUGAUCCAUGGACUGGCACAGAAGCAUGACAUCCAGUUCAGCUGCCAAAUAGCAUGAUCUUAUGGUGCACAGACCAUUUCUGUUGUGAACCUUGUACUCCCCCAGAAGCAGGAUGGGGAAGGGCCAACCAGAAGGAAAGUGUACUCACUGUGAAAUAGGUGUCUCGGACCAAAACAUUAGUUUCUUUUUCUGCCAUCUCUGUACAGAACUUAAAAUGACUCAGAUGCCCCAAGCAAUAGUAAACUUGCCUGUGUGCUGCCUCUAACCAAUGAAAAAAAAAUAAAAAUAAAGUUGAAACUGCUGAUUAAAGAUCC